UCGGGCAUGUCCAUCUUUUCAUAGAGGUAUACUUGAAAUUACGCAUACUGUCCGUUUCAUUGGUUAAUCAUUAUUAAUGAAGUCCGGCCAUCAUGCCCUGUUGCAAAGUGCUGCAGCCUUUUUUAAAUUGUUUACAAUAUAACUAGUUCGAGGGUUGUUCUUAUACGUUUCUCCAAUAGAAGUCGUCUUAAAACCAUGGAACCGAAACCAAACCCAACCUCCUCCGUCAAUAGACGCUAAACCCGUGAAGUCGCAAAACGUUUUAUACUACUGACCCUUCAUUUUCCCCAACCUACAAUACUAGUUUGAAAUACAGAUUUUUUCGUAUUUGCAACUUUGGAAGCAUGGUGGAAAGAGAGGAUAUCAACCAGCUUUCGAGCACCUUUCGACCCUUUACUAGGAUUAUCAACCAUAGAUCAACCUAUCGACCCUUCACUGGGAUUAUCAACCU
Long non-coding RNA from Eurytemora carolleeae, 451 nucleotides. RefSeq lists it as uncharacterized. The transcript has 3 exons. The record is from RefSeq and is a predicted model, not a curated record. Lineage: Eukaryota; Metazoa; Arthropoda; Copepoda; Calanoida; Temoridae.